Molecule: non-coding RNA, 1079 nt
Organism: Peromyscus maniculatus bairdii (prairie deer mouse)
Lineage: Eukaryota; Metazoa; Chordata; Mammalia; Rodentia; Cricetidae
Source: RefSeq, a predicted model, not a curated record
GUGCCCAGCUCCAAGUCCAGCGCAUGCAGUUAGUAAGGACGCCCCCAUUUCAACGGAAAGCUGAUUGUUCAGUUGGGGCUUUUGCGUGUGUGUGUGUAAAUUAGCCUGGCUAUCAGCCUGAAAACUGCACACUUUAAUAUUUUUAAAGCAGUCGAAAUCUCAAAGCUUUCUCCUUUCCAUAUGGAUACCACUGUCUCCACUAUCCAGGCGACCGUUUCACUGGAGUUAGCAAGGCGAACCGCGGCGCUUGCCCCACUUCCUCCUCAGAGCCAACCACCCACGUCUCAAGCGCCUCGGGAGAAUGAGGUAGCUGAUUAUCCUGAGCCCACAGCCACCCUGAUGUUGACUGUUUUUUCCUGCUUGGCAUAAUGAGCCCCUUCACAUUCCUCUCUGCUGACCUCUUAAGGACCAUUUGAGAAUAUCUUUCCAGAAGAUCAAGAGUUACAAAGAAACAGAAGUGUAGACUGAUGGAGAAAACCAGAGGGAUCUGGAGAUGGUGCUGUCUACAUGCUGAGUUUUAAUGCUUAAAUGGCACUUCCAUCAUGGAGUCAGUUGUGCUAAGAUCUGGGGCUUUGCUACAAGGUAAAGGUUUCUAAAGUGCUUUGCUGUUCUAGAAGGCUGUCUCUUAGGGUCAGUGGGGGGGGGCAAGAAAGAAUGAGGAGGAAGGGAGGGGAUACUUUAUUACAUGAUGAAAUUUAGUUCAAAUCCAGGUUGUUUGCCUUCUGUUCCCAUUGCUCUCCUAGACAGCACUUUGCUAGUAAACAGCCCUUAGAAAGCAUGACUGAUUUUCAGGGCAAUAUUAGGCCUUUUCUAAAGAAAACAAUGCAAUAAAUCAGGUUUUUACUAUCUUUUUAAGGACUUAUUUAGUUUAUGUUAUGUAUGUGAAUAUUCAGCUUGCAUUUAUCUAUAUGUAUCCCAUGCAUGCCUGGUGCCUGCAGAAACCAGAAGAGGUUGUAGGCUGCCAUGUGAGUGCUUGGAACCAAAUACGGGCCUUCUUGAAUAGCAGUAAAGAUUCUUAAUUGCUAAAAACAAUCUCUCUAGCCCCAAAUCAAGGCUUUUAAAGCCACCAUUUAACCAUU